AUGCUUGCUUCGGAAGCACAUAUACUUAAAUUGGAACAAUACAGAGAAGAUUAGUAUGGCACCUCUGCAAGGAUGUCAAGCAAAUUCUUAAAGAGUUCCAUAUUUUA
This is a non-coding RNA of Xenopus laevis (African clawed frog), 107 nucleotides long. The record is from Rfam. Lineage: Eukaryota; Metazoa; Chordata; Amphibia; Anura; Pipidae.